RNAcentral lists this ribosomal RNA (253 nucleotides) under uncultured bacterium. RNAcentral describes it as "partial 16S ribosomal RNA". It matches the Rfam family "Bacterial small subunit ribosomal RNA", at positions 524 to 776 of the family's 1533-position model. The record is from RNAcentral.
UACAGGGGGUGCAAACGUUGCUCGGAAUUAUUGGGCGUAAAGCGCGCGUAGGCGGCUACUUAAGUCGGAUGUGAAAGCCCCUGGCUCAACUGGGGAAGUGCACCCGAAACUGAGUGGCUUGAGUACUAAAGAGGGUCGCGGAAUUCCCGGUGUAGAGGUGAAAUUCGUAGAUAUUGGGAGGAACACCAGUGGCGAAGGCGGCUACCUGGACCGGUUCUGACGCUGAGGCGCGAAAGCGUGGGUAGCAAACAGG